GUGGGGAAUCUUCCGCAAUGGACGAAAGUCUGACGGAGCAACGCCGCGUGAGUGAAGAAGGUUUUCGGAUCGUAAAGCUCUUUCGUUAGGGACGAACGUGCUCUUUGUGAAUAAUGAGGAGUAAUGACGGUACCUAAAUAAGAAGCCACGGCUAACUACGUGCCAGCAGCCGCGGUAAUACGUAGGUGGCAAGCGUUGUCCGGAAUUAUUGGGCGUAAAGCGCGCGCAGGCGGGAUAUCAAGUCUGUCUUAAAAGUGCGAGGCUCAACCUCGUGAGGGGACAGAAACUGGUAUUCUUGAGUGUCGGAGAGGAAAGUGGAAUUCCAAGUGUAGCGGUGAAAUGCGUAGAGAUUUGGAAGAACACCAGUGGCGAAGGCGACUUUCUGGACGAUGUCUGACGCUGAGGCGCGAAAGCUAUGGGAGCGAACGGGAUUAGAAACCCCUGUAGUCC
RNAcentral lists this ribosomal RNA (450 nucleotides) under uncultured bacterium. RNAcentral describes it as "partial 16S ribosomal RNA". It matches the Rfam family "Bacterial small subunit ribosomal RNA", at positions 354 to 796 of the family's 1533-position model. The record is from RNAcentral.